CCUUGGCUAGCUCAGUCGGUAGAGCAUGAGAUUCUUCAUCUCAGGGUCGUGGUUUUGAGCCCCUCGUUGGGCG
Danio rerio (zebrafish) is the source of this 73-nucleotide non-coding RNA. Lineage: Eukaryota; Metazoa; Chordata; Actinopteri; Cypriniformes; Danionidae. The record is from Rfam.